CCGUCUUGAAACACGGACCAAGGAGUCUAGCAUGCGCGCGAGUCAUUGGGAACUCGUAAACCCAGAGGCGAAACGAAAGUGAACAGCGCGAAAGCGAAUUUAGCAGGGAAGAUGACCGUCGGCUCGUCCGUCGGUUCGCACUCCCGAGGCGUUUCGAGAAAUGCCACCGUUGCGAUUAUCGAAACGCACUGAGAGCGCGCACGCUGGGACCCGAAAGAUGGUGAACUAUGCCUGGUCAGGUCGAAGUCAGGGGA
RNAcentral lists this ribosomal RNA (254 nucleotides) under Austrotinodes sp. UMSP000029359-Costa Rica. RNAcentral's name for it is "partial 28S large subunit ribosomal RNA". It matches the Rfam family "Eukaryotic large subunit ribosomal RNA", at positions 649 to 859 of the family's 3401-position model. The record is from RNAcentral. Lineage: Eukaryota; Metazoa; Arthropoda; Insecta; Trichoptera; Ecnomidae.